GGUUGGUGCCCCCUCCCUUCCUCACCACUUCAUGCACAUCCCUCCUGAAGCUGCAUGUUCGGUUGAAGAGGAUGACCUUCCCUGCUAAAGGAGGAUAAUUCUUCUGUCAAGGAUAUAUGAGUAUCUGUGCUCCCCUGCUAGAACCUCCAAACAAAUGCUCAAGGUCCACUGACUUUAAUCACAGGACAUGGUAAUACUAAGAGGCCCCCUAUGGAAUCUCCUGUAUUUCAGGCAAGUUCUUCUU
This 244-nucleotide small RNA is filed under the name Dasypus novemcinctus (nine-banded armadillo). Its description in RNAcentral is "7SK RNA (ENSDNOG00000036133.1)". It matches the Rfam family "7SK RNA", at positions 78 to 331 of the family's 331-position model. From Rfam's summary of the family: 7SK was discovered as an abundant small nuclear RNA in the mid-70s but a possible function has only recently been suggested. Two independent studies have found that 7SK RNA binds the CDK9/cyclin T complex (known as elongation factor P-TEFb). The record is from RNAcentral. Lineage: Eukaryota; Metazoa; Chordata; Mammalia; Cingulata; Dasypodidae.